This 353-nucleotide ribosomal RNA is filed under the name Pediococcus pentosaceus. RNAcentral's name for it is "bacterial SSU rRNA". It matches the Rfam family "Bacterial small subunit ribosomal RNA", at positions 75 to 420 of the family's 1533-position model. The record is from RNAcentral. Lineage: Bacteria; Bacillati; Bacillota; Bacilli; Lactobacillales; Lactobacillaceae.
AGAUUUUAACACGAAGUGGAGUGGCGAACGGGUGAGUAACACGUGGGUAACCUGCGCCAGAAGUAGGGGAUAACACCUGGAAACAGAUGCUAAUACCGUAGUAACAGAGAAAACCGCAUGGUUUUCUUUUAAAAGAUGGCUCUGCUAUCACUUCUGGAUGGACCCGCGGCGUAUUAGCUAGUUGGUGAGGUAAAGGCUCACCAAGGCAGUGAUACGUAGCCGACCUGAGAGGGUAAUCGGCCACAUUGGGACUGAGACACGGCCCAAACUCCUACGGGAGGCAGCAGUAGGGAAUCUUCCACAAUGGACGCAAGUCUGAUGGAGCAACGCCGCGUGAGUGAAAAAGGGUUUCG